This 252-nucleotide ribosomal RNA is filed under the name uncultured bacterium. Its description in RNAcentral is "partial 16S ribosomal RNA". It matches the Rfam family "Bacterial small subunit ribosomal RNA", at positions 524 to 776 of the family's 1533-position model. The record is from RNAcentral.
UACGUAGGGUGCAAGCGUUAAUCGGAAUUACUGGGCGUAAAGCGUGCGCAGGCGGUUGUGCAAGACAGAUGUGAAAUCCCCGGGCUCAACCUGGGAACUGCAUUUGUGACUGCACGGCUGGAGUGCGGCAGAGGGGGAUGGAAUUCCGCGUGUAGCAGUGAAAUGCGUAGAGAUGUGGAGGAACACCGAUGGCGAAGGCAGCCUCUGGGCCAACACUGACGCUCAUGCACGAAAGCGUGGGGAGCAAACAGG